GCCAGCGGAGCCCACCCGCGGUGCACCUCCGGGAGCUGGGCGCCUUGGCCCGCCGGUGUGCUACCCGAGAGCCCUCCCCGCUGUCCCACCCCGCCCGCCCUUGGCGGGCCGCCGCCUGCUGUUCGCGGCGCGAGCGCGCUGAUUGGCUUGGUCUGUAGCUAGGGAGCCGAGCAAUCAGCCCCUGCGGGGACCCAGCGUGGGCGAGCCCCGGGCCGCCAGAGUGACUGGAUUGUCCUACCCAGGCGGAUUAGAACGUUCUCUCCCUCCUUACCAUUUCACGCACUUCAACCCCGAGGCGUCACCCGGUUCGACUUCCGACGGGUGGCACAGGGCCGACCAGAGCCCCCUGCGAUCUGCCCGUUUUUAACGCCCAGCUAGGCCCCACUGAAUGCCAUCACAGUUAAAGCAGGCUACAUCUAGCCCGGAGCGCUGUAAAUGAUGAAGGGGACCAAAUGCCUGUAAAUCCCAGGGCUCUUUCUGAGCUCAGCGUGGGUACUGGGCGAGGGGUGGGGGGGAUGAGGAGUCUGAGAAGAGUAUCUAGACCGGGCUCACUAUGAGCCCCUGGAGAUCAAACCAUACAAGUAUAUCAGUACAGGGCCAGAAUCCUCUGCCCCUGAAGACCCAACGGAGAGUCAUGUGUGCCUUGAACUCCAUUCCACAGAGAGGGAAACUGAAGCCAGGUGGAACUGAAACCAUGCAGCAGUCCCAUGGAGUCCUUGAGCCAGGCUGAGGGAAAGCAGUGCAAGUUCAGGGCUACGACUUCAACCUGAGACCAAAAGGAGGACUACUUAGGGAAAGUGCUCAGAACACCACCUCCGAACACAAGAAGUCCCGGAUUUCUACCCGGCAAAACCCUACCUCUGGAAUGUUAGAAGGUUCUCCUCUCCACCUCCUACUAAGUUCCUGAGACCGACAGAGCCAGAGCCUGAGUGACACUACCUGGGGAAGCCUUGGUCUGGUUCAUCCAGUUCCGUGCCUUGGAGGUCCUGCUCUGCUCACAGCUAAAUAACACAUAUCUAAGCCGUGAAUCAGGCCUGAAACACUCGCCCACACAGCAGUGGUGAAACUGAACUUUCAACCGCCAUCCUCUGCAGGGGAGUGAGGUCAUACGAAAACAAAUUCAUUUCUGAAGACUCACUAUCUUCCUCAAACUCAUGGAGAUCUCCCAGGUGCUGGGUUCCAGGUGAGCGGCACUCCAUCCAGCAUGGUGGUUUUGUUUUUGUUUGUUUGUUUAUUUUGAGAGUCAUAUCAGCAACAUUUGUCUGUUCUAAGAAGACAAGUACCGAAUAUGUGAAGGUCAACAGCACUGGACCGGAGGCAUCUGGAGAGAUACUGUCCCCCAGGCACAGCGCUUCUGAGAGUGCCACGGAACCAUAACUGAGCAGCUUCCCCCAAUGUCUGCCUUCAGACCUGCUCUGAGGAUGUCAGUCACCCUGUCCCUCCUCUCUAACCCCAGCUUCCUGCAGCUUGGGCACCACACCCUUCUUCAUUUGACAUGCAGUCUCUGUCACCUUUUUAAUUGUUUUGGUCUCGUCUUCCUGUACACCACACUAGGAACGCUUUUUGCAGACUGCCAGAGAGAAUUCGACAGCCACACCUAGGCCGGGAAGGUGGAUUGCACCUGCAAUCCAAUGAGAGGCUGAGGCAGAAGCAUUGCUAGUUUCAAGCUGGCAUGGACUACAGAGCAGAACUGUCUCAAAAGACAAAAACCAAACCAAAGACAAAACUCCAACAACAACAGCCCUGUCCCUGGAGGUCACCCCAAUCCUGGGCUGCUAUGGCUCACUUGCUUCUGGUAGGCUUUUUCUGACCUACUCUUCAGCACUGCUGAUGCCCAGCAUUCAGAAGAGCCCCCACCCCCAUCCCCCGCCCCCUGGAAGGUACUGCAUUGAUUCAAGUGGAAAAGCCAGCUUUAGACUUGAAUCUCCAGGGCCAGUCUGAUGCUAUACUUUUUAGAAUUGGGACUGAUGAGAAAAAUGACUUAACAUUGUUGUUUAUUUAAUAAGAGACAGCACUGCCCUCCCCAUCCGAGGCUCCUUGGAAACAGUACCAGGUAAGCAAGUGAAACUGAGCACAUUAGAGUUUUCUGGAGUUAAAUUCGGAAUUAGGACAAGGUAGGGGGAAAAAAAAAAUCUAUGCUCAUUGAAUAGAAAAUGCAAUUGUCUGUCAGUGCAGGAACUGAGUGUCUGCAGCAAAUUAUAUUUAGGACUCUAUUGUCGCAGGCAGAUUAGCUAAUGCUUAGUUUUAAGUGUGGGCUUCUAAUGCUGUUACUCCUGGUUAACUCUGCCUAGUAGGUAACCUUGUGGAACAAAUGACUGCAUUGCUUGAAUAACAUAUUUGAUCAAAUAGGACAAUUCUUUCAAAAAUUGAGUUCUCUGUGGCAAUUUGAGACCUGUAAUCAGCAAAUUAGAUGAUUACAGCAGGGAUAAAAAUAGUCUUCUAACAAUGUCCAAGGUAUAAAUGUGAUUUGAAUUUUAAACCGCUGAACAUGUGGUAGGAAAAUGCACGGUUGGAUAAAUAGGACGAGACAUUAUCAGAUCUGAUUUCCCUCCUAUCCCUGCUCUGAGCUCCGACCUACUUUUGUCCGAGUAUCCUCCCGUCUUGUCUGCAGCUGAGUUAGGAGAUGGGUCAGGCACUGUGUUCACGUCUUAGAGGGUGCUCUCUCAGCACACUUAUCUGCCUCAGAAACAGUCCGCAUGACCUUAGUUAGUAUCACUCAUUUAUCCAUCCACUUGGUAUGAAAUGACUUCUGUAAGACACUAAGCUUCCCGAAUCCCAUCUGGGGAAGAUAGCAUGGGAAAGCUGUCCGUGCCAACACCUACAGACCAGUUUCAGGCAGUGCUCAGAGAAGUGACACACUCGUAAACUGAGCUGGGAGAAGACUGGUGCUGGACCAAUAAGCUGCAGUAUCCCCAUGCCAGAUGUAGUCCCAUGCUAUCUCUACUUUUGAUUCUUCUGGCCACCUCACCUCAGUGAUUCCCUGAUCACCUGGCCUCAGCUGUUCAAUAGUAGAUAGGGAAAAACAUUUCAAUCAGGUCUACAGAGCCAAGCCAGAGGCCACAUAAGCCACUAAAUUGUCACCAGAUGAUAGGGGGGACUUGUCUCACUAGUGAUUCCCUUAGUCUUAUGAUGGAGCCAUGGAAAUUACCAAUUACUAAAGGUUUUAUUCACUCAUGAAGAACUGUCUUGUUAGCACAAAUGAUGGAUUUGCUGUGGCAAUACUAGCACUUAAUGCUAGGCAUGGUGGUGCACACCUACAAUUCCAACACUGAAGAGGCUUAAACAUGAUUGAUGCCAGUGUGGGUUACACAGUGAGGAGACUCUGUAUCAAACAAAUCACACACAUUACUGGCAUGUGUGUGUGUAUAGUCUUACAAUACAGCCCAGGCUACCCUUGGACUCUUCUGUCUCAGCAUUCUGAGUGCUAGGAUUAGAUGUGGGUCCCCAUGCCUGGUAGCCACUGCUUUUUAAGAGUGUUUGUUUGGGACUUACAAAUAAUGAGUUAACUGGGUGUAGUGGCGAACGCCUUUAAUCCCAGCAUCCAGGAGGCAGAGGCAGGUGGGUCUGAGUUCAAGGCCAGCCUGGUCCUGGUCUACAAAGCAAAUCCCAAGAUAACUAGGGCUGUUACACAAACUGUCUUGAAAAACAAAAGUGUUGAGUAAUGCCAUUACUCAAAUAGAUUUGUUUAGAGUUUUUUCUGUAUGAAUGUUUUGCCUUGCAUGUAUGCCUGUGUACCACAUGUAUGCAAUACUGAAGGAAGCCAGAAAAGGCACUAGAUCUCCUGAAACGAGUUACAGAGGUUAAGAGCUUGGGAAUCAAACCUGGAAGAGCAGCCAGUGCUGUUAACCACUAAGACAUCUCUCCAGCUAGGUUUCUAAUACACUUACUAGGAAGACUUAAAGCUUCCAGAGCCAGAAAAGCAAAGUGAAAGAAUAGAAUACCUCCAACUUUGCAUAAAUACAAUAUAUAUCUAAAAUGGCUACCUUCUGUUUUAUAGAUUUCUGAAAACCAAGUUCAAAUAAGAAGUUGAAAGUAAGUGCCUUUUAGUUGCUCAGUCAUCUUGCCCCGCGUGUGCACACACACACACUGAAGCAUUGUUAAAGUGAAAUAGUACCAACAGAGGUGAUGCAAGUGUACAUACGAGGUUUCAAAUGCAGUGGCCAGCAGCGGGGCCCAGUGAUUGCAUAGCCCAUCAGGAGAUAAUCUGCAGUAAAUGUUCUGACGUUCACUUAACUAUGUCAUUCAACUCUGCGUGACACUCCCAUUCACUUGUCUUGAGACAGGGCAUUCCUAAGUGGCCUGGCCAUAGCCUAGAACUUUGGAUUUUCCCAGGAGCUGAGGCAAGGUGUGCACCAAUGUGCCCAGGUUCAUUUUCCUCUUAGAGGUAGUCUGAGGCCACUAUGUUAAAUUGUUUAAACAAAAUGUCUUAUAUCCUUCAUAUUUGGGUAAGGGUGAAGACCAUGCAUUACAGCUCUAUGACCUGUAAUACUCUGGAGAGGACAGAUGACACGAGUGAAACUCCCUGGGUGUGGAAUGCCUCCACGAGACAGCUGACAAUUACAGUGUGAACUGCUGCCUGUGUAGGGCAUUGUGGGUGAGAGCCUCAUGGAAGCCCAGGCUAUAUAGCAAGCUCUAGGCCAGCCUGGGUUGCAUUGUGAGACUGUCUCAAGAAUAA
Long non-coding RNA from Mus musculus (house mouse), 4675 nucleotides. RefSeq annotates it as predicted gene, 30771. Lineage: Eukaryota; Metazoa; Chordata; Mammalia; Rodentia; Muridae. The record is from RefSeq and is a predicted model, not a curated record. The transcript has 5 exons.